This is a long non-coding RNA of Neofelis nebulosa (Clouded leopard), 523 nucleotides long. RefSeq lists it as uncharacterized. NCBI's taxonomy places the organism in Eukaryota, Metazoa, Chordata, Mammalia, Carnivora, Felidae. The record is from RefSeq and is a predicted model, not a curated record. The transcript has 3 exons.
UACCAGACGGAGUAGCUCUGUGGCUACCAGUGUGUCCCUUUAAGAGGGAGGCUCAUCCCUGGCAACUGGUGUCCAGAUGGGGCCUUGGAGAGGCCCUAGGGAGAGGCAGAAGUAGGACUGGGGGAACUGGGACUGCAGAGACUGGUCGUCAGAGGGCAUUCUGAGAGCACCAAGGGAAGCCAGGUCUGAAGACAGGGGGCCUGAGACCCUAGCCUGGAAGGAUCCUGCUCAAAAAGGAAGGCUCUGGCUCUUUGGGGCCAGACCUUUGACUGAGAUUUGGAGGAUGAGAUACUGGCCCAGGAUGGGUUGAGAACAGUAAGUGCUGAGACAGCAGCAGCUGAUUUUAAUCAGAAGGAAUAAAUAGCCCUUCCUGUCCUCAGGGUUUCAGCAGAAGCAAAUACUGGGCCAGACCUUGUGCUGAGUGCUCUGGGGGAUGUGACCUUGUGGCUGCCCUCUGGGGCUGAUCGUCUAGUAGGGGGACAGACACAACUAACCACCACCCCUGUCUCCACUCACCGGAACA